Molecule: ribosomal RNA, 494 nt
Organism: Aspergillus viridinutans
Lineage: Eukaryota; Fungi; Ascomycota; Eurotiomycetes; Eurotiales; Aspergillaceae
Source: RefSeq, a predicted model, not a curated record
AGUAUUCUAUAACUUAGUAAUUAGUUCUCCUUACUUAGGUAAUAUAUGGAUAUUUGCUCCCUCCACGCUGAUCUUACUAGUUGAUAUCAACCCUUAGUAGGCGAUCUUACAGUGGACCAGGACUUUUACUAUAAAAGAAUUAGAGUUUUAAGAAUGCCUUUGCUUGAAUAUUACCAUGAUUUAUAAAAUAGGAUGUGCGGUUCUGCUUUGUGGGUUUCUAGGACCGCCAUGAUGAUUUCUUAAUAGCAACAGGUGGAGGCGCCCAUAUCCGGCAGUCAGAGGUGAAAUUUUUAGAUUUGCUACACGAACUGCCGCCAAAGCAUUUAGCAAGGAUGUUUUUAUUGGCCUGGAAAUGAAUGUAAUUUGGGAAAUUCAAGAUGAUCAGAUACCAUCAUAGUCCUAACCAAAUUUUCAUAAACACACGAACCAGGGAUCAGGCUUCUUUUCUAUCAGGAUCUCCCUUGGCAUUUUCAAGGAAACAAAGUUUCGGGAUC